RNAcentral lists this ribosomal RNA (254 nucleotides) under uncultured bacterium. RNAcentral describes it as "partial 16S ribosomal RNA". It matches the Rfam family "Bacterial small subunit ribosomal RNA", at positions 524 to 776 of the family's 1533-position model. The record is from RNAcentral.
UACAGAGGUCUCAAGCGUUGUUCGGAUUCAUUGGGCGUAAAGGGUGCGUAGGCGGCGCGGUAAGUCGGGUGUGAAAGUCUCGGAGCUUAACUCCGAAACUGCAUUCGAUACUGCCGUGCUUGAGGACUGGAGAGGAGACUGGAAUUUACGGUGUAGCGGUGAAAUGCGUAGAUAUCAGGAAGAACACCCGUGGCGAAGGCGGCUCUCUGGUACGUGACUGACGCUGAGACGCGAAAGCGUGGGGAGCGAACAGG